This 253-nucleotide ribosomal RNA is filed under the name uncultured bacterium. RNAcentral's name for it is "partial 16S ribosomal RNA". It matches the Rfam family "Bacterial small subunit ribosomal RNA", at positions 524 to 776 of the family's 1533-position model. The record is from RNAcentral.
UACGUAGGGGGCAAGCGUUGUCCGGAAUCAUUGGGCGUAAAGAGCGCGUAGGCGGUCCGGUAAGUCCGCUCUGAAAGUCCGGGGCUCAACCCCGGGAGGCGGGCGGAUACUGUCGGGCUAGAGUCCGGUAGAGGCGAGUGGAAUUCCUGGUGUAGCGGUGAAAUGCGCAGAUAUCAGGAGGAACACCGAUGGCGAAGGCAGCUCGCUGGGACGGUACUGACGCUGAGGCGCGAAAGCGUGGGGAGCAAACAGG